GCCUGGAAAUUACGAGCUCAAGCUUAAAACCCAAAGGACUUGACGGUGUCCCAUCCCCCUAGAGGAGCCUGUUCUAUAAUCGAUUUUCCCCGAUUUACCUCACCACCCCUUGAAUACUCAGUCUGUAUACCUCCGUCGCAAGCUUACCAUGUGAACGCAUUCUUAGUGAGCUUAAAAAUUUAUUAUUUACACGUCAGGUCAAGGUGCAGCCCAUGGGCUGGAAAGAAAUGGGCUACAGUUUCUAUAAUAGAACAAACGAAAAACUACAUGCAAUAUAGCUAUUGAAGGCGGAUUUAGAAGUAAAAAGAAAACAGAGAGUUCUUUUUAAUUGGGCUCUGGGACGCGUACACACCGCCCGUCAUCCUCUUCAAAUAUUUAUUUAAUGUUACUAACCUAAUAAAAUCUGUCAGAAGAGGCAAGUCGUAACACGGUAAGCGUACUGGAAAGUGUGCUUGGAACAACAAAAUGUAACUUAACAAAAGUAUCCUGCUUACACCAAGAAUAUGUCUGUGAAACUCUGACCAUUUUGAUGCCAAAAACCUAGCCCUACUUUUUCAAAUGAUUUAAUUCUACCUGACAAAACUAAUAAAACAUUUUUAAUUCCUAGUAAAGGUGAUUAAAAAGUAUUUAGGAG
Molecule: ribosomal RNA, 634 nt
Filed under: Sphenophryne dentata (Alotau land frog)
Lineage: Eukaryota; Metazoa; Chordata; Amphibia; Anura; Microhylidae
Description: Liophryne dentata (Alotau land frog) partial 12S ribosomal RNA
Rfam family: Bacterial small subunit ribosomal RNA (bases 1-468)
Source: RNAcentral